Molecule: ribosomal RNA, 478 nt
Filed under: uncultured bacterium
Lineage: Bacteria
Description: partial 16S ribosomal RNA
Rfam family: Bacterial small subunit ribosomal RNA
Source: RNAcentral
GAUGAACGCUGGCGGCGUGCUUAACACAUGCAAGUCGAACGAGAAAUGUAGACGGAAACCUUCGGGCGGAAGCCUUCAUUUCGAGUGGCGGACGGGUGAGUAACGCGUGGGUAACCUGCCUCAUACAGGGGGAUAACAGUUGGAAACGACUGUUAAUACCGCAUAAGACCACAGCAUCGCAUGAUGCGGGGGUAAAAACUCCGGUGGUAUGAGAUGGACCCGCGUUCGAUUAGCCAGUUGGCGGGGUAACGGCCCACCAAAGCGACGAUCGAUAGCCGAUCUGAGAGGAUGACCGGCCACAUUGGGACUGAGACGCGGCCCAAACUCCUACGGGAGGCAGCAGUGGGGAAUAUUGCACAAUGGGGGAAACCCUGAUGCAGCGACGCCGCGUGAGUGAAGAAGUACUUCGGUAUGUAAAGCUCUAUCAGCAGGGAAGAAAAUGACGGUACCUGAGUAAGAAGCCCCGGCUAACUACGUG